AUACUCUUGAAGUUCUUGAGGGCCAGGGAGUUCAAAGUAAAAGAUGCAUUUAUCAUGAUCCAGAGCACAAUCCGAUGGAGGAAGGAAUUUAAAAUCGAUGAACUUCUUGAUGAAGAUCUCGGUGAUGAUUUGGAUAAAGUGGUUUUUAUGCAUGGUCAUGACAGGGAGGGUCAUCCCGUAUGCUACAAUGUCUAUGGGGAAUUCCAGAAUAAAGAAUUGUAUCAGAAGACAUUUGCUGACGAGGCGAAGAGAACGAGGUUUCUACGGUGUCGGAUUCAGUUUUUGGAAAGGAGUAUCAGGAAACUCGAUUUUAGUCCUGGUGGUAUUUCUACCAUCUUUCAGGUUAAUGAUCUCAAGAAUUCUCCUGGACCUGGAAAACGUGAGCUUAGGUUGGCUACCAGCCAGGCUCUCCAAUUGCUUCAAGACAAUUACCCUGAGUUUGUAGCUAAACAGGUAUUCAUCAAUGUUCCAUGGUGGUAUCUUGCUUUUUAUACAAUGAUCAGUCCAUUCAUGACUCAGAGGACCAAAAGCAAAUUUGUAUUUGCAGGCCCAUCAAAAUCUGCUGAUACACUUUUCAAAUAUAUAUCACCUGAGCAAGUGCCUAUUCAGUAUGGUGGCUUGAGCGUGGAUUACUGUGAUUGCAACCCAGAAUUUACCGUUGCUGAUCCUGCAACUGAGAUAACUGUGAAACCAGCAACAAAGAAAACUGUGGAAAUUAUAAUUUAUGAGAAAUGUAUAAUUGUCUGGGAAAUCCGGGUUGUUGGGUGGGAGGUGAGCUAUGGUGCUGAGUUUGUGCCUGAUGCCAAAGACGCAUAUACAGUUAUCAUACAGAAACCGACGAAAUUGGCCUCAACUGAUGAACCAGUGGUGACUAGCAGCUUCAAAGUUGGUGAACUGGGUAAAAUAAUGCUCACAGUGGACAAUUCAACCUCAAAA
Molecule: unclassified non-coding RNA, 936 nt
Filed under: Hevea brasiliensis (rubber tree)
Lineage: Eukaryota; Viridiplantae; Streptophyta; Magnoliopsida; Malpighiales; Euphorbiaceae
Source: RNAcentral